GACGAACGCUGGCGGCGUGCUUAACACAUGCAAGUCGAACGGAAAGGCCCUGCUUUUGUGGGGUGCUCGAGUGGCGAACGGGUGAGUAACACGUGAGUAACCUGCCCUUGACUUUGGGAUAACUUCAGGAAACUGGGGCUAAUACCGGAUAGGAGCUCCUGCUGCAUGGUGGGGGUUGGAAAGUUUCGGCGGUUGGGGAUGGACUCGCGGCUUAUCAGCUUGUUGGUGGGGUAGUGGCUUACCAAGGCUUUGACGGGUAGCCGGCCUGAGAGGGUGACCGGCCACAGUGGGACUGAGAUACGGCCCAGACUCCUACGGGAGGCAGCAGUGGGGAAUAUUGCACAAUGGGCGGAAGCCCGAUGCAGCAACGCCGCGUGCGGGAUGACGGCCUUCGGGUUGUAAACCGCUUUCGCCUGUGACGAAGCGUGAGUGACGGUAAUGGGUAAAGAAGCACCGGCUAACUACGU
Molecule: ribosomal RNA, 467 nt
Filed under: uncultured bacterium
Lineage: Bacteria
Description: partial 16S ribosomal RNA
Rfam family: Bacterial small subunit ribosomal RNA
Source: RNAcentral